This 370-nucleotide ribosomal RNA is filed under the name uncultured bacterium. RNAcentral describes it as "bacterial SSU rRNA". It matches the Rfam family "Bacterial small subunit ribosomal RNA", at positions 527 to 896 of the family's 1533-position model. The record is from RNAcentral.
GUAUGGUGCAAGCGUUAUCCGGAUUUACUGGGUGUAAAGGGAGCGUAGACGGAGUGGCAAGUCUGAUGUGAAAACCCGGGGCUCAACCCCGGGACUGCAUUGGAAACUGUCAAUCUAGAGUACCGGAGAGGUAAGCGGAAUUCCUAGUGUAGCGGUGAAAUGCGUAGAUAUUAGGAGGAACACCAGUGGCGAAGGCGGCUUACUGGACGGUAACUGACGUUGAGGCUCGAAAGCGUGGGGAGCAAACAGGAUUAGAUACCCUGGUAGUCCACGCCGUAAACGAUGACUACUAGGUGUCGGGCAGCAAAGCUGUUCGGUGCCGCAGCAAACGCAAUAAGUAGUCCACCUGGGGAGUACGUUCGCAAGAAUG